Molecule: ribosomal RNA, 253 nt
Filed under: uncultured bacterium
Lineage: Bacteria
Description: partial 16S ribosomal RNA
Rfam family: Bacterial small subunit ribosomal RNA
Source: RNAcentral
GACGAACCGUGCGAGCGUUGUUCGGAAUCACUGGGCGUAAAGGGCGCGUAGGCGGGCUGACACGUCUGGGGUGAAAUGCCGCGGCUCAACCGUGGAACUGCCUUAGAUACUGUCGGACUCGAGGGAGGUAGGGGCAUGCGGAACUGUGGGUGGAGCGGUGAAAUGCGUUGAUAUCCUCAGGAACUCCGGUGGCGAAAGCGGCGUGCUGGACCGCUUCCGACGCUGAGGCGCGAAAGCUAGGGGAGCAAACGGG